AACUUUAUUAUUAUGAUUAUAUUUUGCAUGUAGAUAUCCAGUUGUCCCAGAGCCAUCUGCUGAAAAAAAAACAAUUCUUUCCCUCACUGUUUUGGAACCC
Gorilla gorilla gorilla (western lowland gorilla) is the source of this 100-nucleotide small nucleolar RNA. The record is from Ensembl. Lineage: Eukaryota; Metazoa; Chordata; Mammalia; Primates; Hominidae.